GAUGAACGCUAGCUACAGGCUUAACACAUGCAAGUCGAGGGGCAGCAUGAACUUAGCUUGCUAAGUUUGAUGGCGACCGGCGCACGGGUGAGUAACACGUAUCCAACCUGCCGAUGACUCGGGGCUAGCCUUUCGAAAGAAAGAUUAAUACCCGAUGGCAUAGUUCUUCCGCAUGGUAGAACUAUUAAAGAAUUUCGUUCAUCGAUGGGGAUGCGUUCCAUUAGGUUGUUGGCGGGGUAACGGCCCACCAAGCCUUCGAUGGAUAGGGGUUCUGAGAGGAAGGUCCACCACAAUGGAACUGAGACACGGUACAAACACCUACGGGAGGCAGCAGGGAGGAAUAGUGGUCAAUGGACGAGAGUCUGAACCAGGCAAGUAGAGUGAAGGAGGACUGCGCUAUGGGUUGUAAACUUCUUUUAUACGGGAAUAAAGUGAGGCACGUGUGCCUUUUUGUAUGUACCGUAUGAAUAAGGAUCGGCUAACUCCGUGC
Molecule: ribosomal RNA, 490 nt
Filed under: uncultured bacterium
Lineage: Bacteria
Description: partial 16S ribosomal RNA
Rfam family: Bacterial small subunit ribosomal RNA
Source: RNAcentral